This 464-nucleotide long non-coding RNA is filed under the name Ursus maritimus (polar bear). Its description in RNAcentral is "lncRNA (ENSUMAG00000021701.1)". Lineage: Eukaryota; Metazoa; Chordata; Mammalia; Carnivora; Ursidae. The record is from RNAcentral.
UUUCGCUCUGCGCCCUGGGCUCUGCGGAGACAUGUGCUUGCCUCUUCUUCCGCGCCCCUCGCAGGAUGACGGCAAGCCCAAAGGGAAACGAGGUGUCCUGUGUGCCACAUGGAGCUUGGGGAACGGAAAUAAUUAAAGCCAUGAGGUUUCCUGGCUCUUCGCGGUGUUUACGGUUAUGGAGCUCUGUGGUGUUAUGGAAGUGAAUGGCAUAUUGCCAUGAGUAAUGAAGUGAGAUCCCAGCAGUACCCACUGUACCAAGAAGCUGAGCGUUGACUGAAGGUCUGAUGGCUUCUAGACUCUCACCAUGAACUAACUGUGCCACACGUUGAAAUUGAAAUGUGGAUCCCUUGGAAUAACUUGUUUCCUGUUUUAUGAAGGUCAGAGGGUGGGAGUGAAAACUUACCAGUAACCAAACAUGGUGGUAUCAAGCCUAAUCAGAAAUAAAAAAACUUCUAAAAUCUGUG